UCUUCGAUAGCUAAAAUAUUAUAGCGUGGUCUUGAAGCGGCUAAGGUGAUGUAAUUUCUCGGGGAA
RNAcentral lists this transfer RNA (66 nucleotides) under Stylochus stellae. Its description in RNAcentral is "tRNA-Phe". The record is from RNAcentral. Lineage: Eukaryota; Metazoa; Platyhelminthes; Polycladida; Stylochidae.